CCCCGCGGGGAGCGCCCGGGCGGCGGCCGGCGCAAGGGAAAGCGCCCCCGCUCCGCAGAAGCGCCGAACUUACUGCGGGCAGCCCGGCAACUUUCUGCUCCCCGGGCUUCCACUUUCGCGAUCCGCCUGCCCACCUCCCUUCGCUGCGCUCCUUCCUGCGGCCCGCUGCCGCUGCCCGGCCCGCAGCGAUGUCCGCGGAGUUGGGUGCGGGCGCAGCCGGGCGAUCACCGCGUCCCCUCGCACAUGUCCCGGGCGCCUUUGCUGCCGCGGCUGUCUCCGGGGAUUCUCCGCUCCUCCGACGGGUCGCAGCUCCUCACUUUCUUGCCGGGAGGUGGAGAUUGGUUUAUCCGAGCGCGGAAUAAAGGAGGAGGAGGGGGAGGAAAUAUCUAAGCCAUUGAAGAGGGGGCCCUGAGAAAUCCCCCCCUCCUCGCCGCCCUCUGGUCCGGGUUUGCAAUAGGUCGGCUCCGCCGCGCCGUGCCGAGCGGGGCUGGAGUGUGCGUGGUGUCUGUGCCGGCUCCGCUCCCCCCGCCUCGCCAGCUCCUGGGGCCGCAGCAGCUGGGGCUUUUGGGGGCGGCUGAAUCAGAGGAUAAAAUAAAGUAAAAAAAAAAAAAAAAAAAAAAAAAAAAGCUAAACCCAAGAAGAAGAAAAAAAACCUGUGCAGGAUCCGCCUCGCAUACGACAUCCACUUUGCAUGAGAAAGGUGAAGCUGACACGGUGAUUACUUUCCAAUCACUCGGAACGCCUUGAAACCUCCUUAAGGACCCCUACAGGUUCUCCUUGAUCGGCACAGAUUAGAAAAAGCCCCAUUUGUUUCUCUCUCCUUCUCUCUUUCCUUCCUUUCUGCUUUCCCUCCCGUUGCCCUCUGUUGAAAGUUUAACAAGAUCUUUUCUGUAGAAGGCGUCAGCCUGCCCUCCCUCGCUCAGGACCAUCUACACGUAUCAGCCAUUCAACGAGCCUGAGUCAGGGAGAGUAACAAACAGAACACUAUUGGAGAAAAAUGAGAGCGCUGAGAAAUCAGCAACUGGAAGAUACCUCUGUAACUAAUAAAUGAAAAGAACCUUU
Long non-coding RNA from Serinus canaria (Common canary), 1062 nucleotides. RefSeq lists it as uncharacterized. Lineage: Eukaryota; Metazoa; Chordata; Aves; Passeriformes; Fringillidae. The record is from RefSeq and is a predicted model, not a curated record. The transcript is spliced from 2 exons.